CUUGACUGUAGCUUGGAAUUGGGUUCGGGCUCUUCUUGCGCAGCCUAGGUGGGAGGCGUUGAAGGUUUUCUUUCGGGGAAACUGGGGCCAACAGUGAGAGACCACUCUGGAGGAGCUAGAAUUCUAAUGGCGUUCCUUGAAGCAGGACGCUUGACAGUUUCAGGUGGGCAGUUUGACUGGGGCGGUCACCUCCUAAAAGGUAACGGAGGCGCGCAAAGGUCCCCUCAGUCUGGACGGAAAUCAGACAACGAGUGUAAAGGCAAAAGGGGGCUUGACUGCAAGACCUACAAGUCGAGCAGGAGCGAAAGCUGGCCGUAGUGAUCCGACGGUACCGUGUGGAAGGGCCGUCGCUCAACGAAUAAAAGUUA
This 368-nucleotide ribosomal RNA is filed under the name uncultured organism. Its description in RNAcentral is "bacterial LSU rRNA". It matches the Rfam family "Bacterial large subunit ribosomal RNA", at positions 2099 to 2465 of the family's 2925-position model. The record is from RNAcentral.